AACGNCCGCGGUACUCUGACCGUGCAAAGNUNNUAUAAUCAUUUGCCUUAUAAUUGAAGGCUAGUAUGAAGGGUUUGACAAGAAUGUAGCGGUCUCUUUACAAUUUAAUAAAAUUUUAUUUUUAGGUGAAAAAGCCUUAUUUGGAUUAAAAAACAAGAAAACCCUAUCGAGCUGAAAAGGAGUUAAUAGACUAAGUUUCUAUUUUCUAAAAUAUGGAUAUUAUAUAUUUUGGUUGGGGCGACUGAAGAACAUAUAAAGCUUCCUUUACAUACGUAUUNGAUCCNUGAUAAAAGAAAUUAGUUACCGNAGGGAUAACACCAUUAUCCUUUUUGAAAGAUCUAAUCUAAAAAAGGGGUUGUGACCUCUAUGUUGGACCACAAUGUCCUGAAAGUGCGCAACUCUCUAAGGGGUGGUCUGUGCGACCAUUAUAAUUCUA
Molecule: ribosomal RNA, 436 nt
Filed under: Myurella multistriata
Lineage: Eukaryota; Metazoa; Mollusca; Gastropoda; Neogastropoda; Terebridae
Description: Clathroterebra multistriata partial 16S ribosomal RNA
Rfam family: Bacterial large subunit ribosomal RNA
Source: RNAcentral